This 563-nucleotide ribosomal RNA is filed under the name Aureobasidium sp. RNAcentral describes it as "eukaryotic LSU rRNA". It matches the Rfam family "Eukaryotic large subunit ribosomal RNA", at positions 143 to 719 of the family's 3401-position model. The record is from RNAcentral. Lineage: Eukaryota; Fungi; Ascomycota; Dothideomycetes; Dothideales; Saccotheciaceae.
UUGUAAUUUGUAGAGGAUGAUUUGGGGAAGCCGCCUGUCUAAGUUCCUUGGAACAGGACGUCAUAGAGGGUGAGAAUCCCGUAUGUGACAGGAAAUGGCACCCUAUGUAAAUCUCCUUCGACGAGUCGAGUUGUUUGGGAAUGCAGCUCUAAAUGGGAGGUAAAUUUCUUCUAAAGCUAAAUAUUGGCGAGAGACCGAUAGCGCACAAGUAGAGUGAUCGAAAGAUGAAAAGCACUUUGGAAAGAGAGUUAAAAAGCACGUGAAAUUGUUGAAAGGGAAGCGCUUGCAAUCAGACUUGUUUAAACUGUUCGGCCGGUCUUCUGACCGGUUUACUCAGUUUGGACAGGCCAGCAUCAGUUUCGGCGGCCGGAUAAAGGCUCUGGGAAUGUGGCCUCCACUUCGGUGGAGGUGUUAUAGCCCAGGGUGUAAUACGGCCAGCCGGGACUGAGGUCCGCGCUUCGGCUAGGAUGCUGGCGUAAUGGUUGUAAGCGACCCGUCUUGAAACACGGACCAAGGAGUCUAACAUCUAUGCGAGUGUUCGGGUGUCAAACCCCUGCGCGUAA